This 255-nucleotide ribosomal RNA is filed under the name uncultured bacterium. RNAcentral's name for it is "partial 16S ribosomal RNA". It matches the Rfam family "Bacterial small subunit ribosomal RNA", at positions 524 to 776 of the family's 1533-position model. The record is from RNAcentral.
CACGUAGGGCGCGAGCGUUGUCCGGAAUUAUUGGGCGUAAAGAGCUCGUGAGCGGCCUGUUGCGUCCGCUGUGAAAGCCCGGGGCUUAACUCCGGGUCUGCGGUGGAUACGGGCAGACUAGAGGCAGGUAGGGGAGAACGGAAUUCCCGGUGUAGCGGUGAAAUGCGCAGAUAUCGGGAGGAACACCAAUGGCGAAGGCAGCUCGCUGGGACGUUACUGACGCUGAGACGCGAAAAGCGUGGGGGAGCAAACAGG